Molecule: ribosomal RNA, 497 nt
Filed under: uncultured bacterium
Lineage: Bacteria
Description: partial 16S ribosomal RNA
Rfam family: Bacterial small subunit ribosomal RNA
Source: RNAcentral
GACGAACGCUGGCGGCGUGCCUAAUACAUGCAAGUUGAACGCUAAAGGCCUGUAUUUGUAGGCACCUCGAGUGGCGAACAGGGGAGUAUCACGUGAGGGACCUGCCCUUUACAUUGGGAGAACAUCAUUGAACACGGGCGAAUACCCGACAUGAAAUCCUGCUACAUAAUGUGUGAGGGUGAAAUACGGAGUUUGAUCAUUCACACACGGCUUAGCGUUGUAUUAGCGAGGUGGUGAGGUACAGGCUCAUUAAGGGGAUGUUACAUAGCCGACCUGAGCGGGUGAUCGGCCACAUUGGGACGGAGACACGGCCCAAACUCCUACGGGAGGCAGCAGUAGGGAAUCUUCGGCAAUGGACGAAAGUCUGACCGAGCAACGCCGCGUGAGUGAAGAAGGUUUUCGGAUCGUAAAACUCUGUUGGUAGAGAAGAACGUUGGUGAGAGUGGAAAGCUCAUCAAGUGACGGUAACUACCCAGAAAGGGACGGCUAACUACGUG